RNAcentral lists this ribosomal RNA (231 nucleotides) under Triticum aestivum (bread wheat). Its description in RNAcentral is "partial small subunit ribosomal RNA". The record is from RNAcentral. Lineage: Eukaryota; Viridiplantae; Streptophyta; Magnoliopsida; Poales; Poaceae.
UCAGAAUCUGAAGAAACUAAUUCUGUAUGGAGAAACAAAAAAUCUCUCAUUUCCGACGCGAAUAGAUUUUUUUUAUUCGAAAUAAAGGUUCUUGUCUUGUGGGGAACGAUGCACAAAUUUUUGGAAUCCGGCCUAAAAAUAGUAUUGAUUCUUGGAACAAGUGCAAAGAUGCUUUUAUCUCUAAGUAUUUUCCUCCUGCUAAGAUCAUCACUCUUAGGAACGAUAUUAUGA